CCCUGUUAUACUGGAUUUGAAAUAUAUUGCUUGAUUAGUAUUAGUUAUGGUCUUGAAAUUUAAAGGAUUUGGCGGUAUCCAAGUCUAGUUAGAGGAACCUGCCAUUUAAACGAUAUACCACGAAUUAUCUUACUUUAUCUUGUUAUCAGUAUGUAUACCUCCAUUAUUAGGUGGUGUAUUAAUAUAUCCAUUGAAAUUAAUUUAUGUUAAGUAUAUUAGGUCAAGGUGCAGCCAAUGGUAAAGUCAUAGGUGGGUUACAAUGUAUUAUAUUUAUAGACGAAUGGUUUCUUGAAAAUGAAACUUGAAGGUGGAUUUAAUUGUAUUUUUAUUUUAAUAUGUUAAAUUGAUACUAGCUCUAGGGUAUGUACACAUCGCCC
This 377-nucleotide ribosomal RNA is filed under the name Macrobrachium nipponense. RNAcentral's name for it is "partial 12S ribosomal RNA". The record is from RNAcentral. Lineage: Eukaryota; Metazoa; Arthropoda; Malacostraca; Decapoda; Palaemonidae.